UGAGGAAUAUUGGUCAAGGGUCGAGAGCCUGAACCAGCCAAGUAGCGUGCAGGAUGACGGCCCUAUGGGUUGUAAACUGCUUUUAUGUGGGGAUAAAGUGCGUGACGUGUCAUGCAUUGCAGGUACCACAUGAAUAAGGACCGGCUAAUUCCGUGCCAGCAGCCGCGGUAAUACGGAAGGUCCGGGCGUUAUCCGGAUUUAUUGGGUUUAAAGGGAGCGUAGGCUGUCUAUUAAGCGUGUUGUGAAAUUUACCGGCUCAACCGGUGGCUUGCAGCGCGAACUGGUCGACUUGAGUAUGCAGGAAGUAGGCGGAAUUCAUGGUGUAGCGGUGAAAUGCUUAGAUAUCAUGACGAACUCCGAUUGCGCAGGCAGCUUACUGUAGCAUAACUGACGCUGAUGCUCGAAAGUGCGGGUAUCAAACAGG
Molecule: ribosomal RNA, 424 nt
Filed under: Fusobacteriota bacterium
Lineage: Bacteria; Fusobacteriati; Fusobacteriota
Description: Fusobacteria bacterium partial 16S ribosomal RNA
Rfam family: Bacterial small subunit ribosomal RNA
Source: RNAcentral